This 433-nucleotide ribosomal RNA is filed under the name uncultured bacterium. RNAcentral's name for it is "partial 16S ribosomal RNA". It matches the Rfam family "Bacterial small subunit ribosomal RNA", at positions 29 to 507 of the family's 1533-position model. The record is from RNAcentral.
AACGAACGCUGGCGGCAUGCCUAACACAUGCAAGUCGAACGAGACCUUCGGGUCUAGCGGCGCACGGGUGCGUAACGCGUGGGAACCUGCCCUUAGGUUCGGAAUAACUCCCCGAAAGGGGUGCUAAUACCGGAUAAUGUCUUCGGACCAAAGAUUUAUCGCCUUUGGAUGGGCCCGCGUUGGAUUAGCUAGUUGGUAGGGUAAAAGCCUACCAAGGCGACGAUCCAUAGCUGGUCUGAGAAGAUGAUCAGCCACACUGGGACUGAGACACGGCCCAGACUCCUACGGGAGGCAGCAGUGGGGAAUAUUGGACAAUGGGCGAAAGCCUGAUCCAGCAAUGCCGCGUGAGUGAUGAAGGCCUUAGGGUUGUAAAGCUAUUUUACCCGGGAUGAUAAUGACAGUACCGGGAGAAUAAGCUCCGGCUAACUCCGUG